GAUGAAGAACGCAGCGAAAUGCGAUAAGUAGUGUGAAUUGCAGAAUUCCGUGAAUCAUCGAAUCUUUGAACGCACAUUGCGCCUUCUGGUAUUCCGGAAGGCAUGCCUGUUCGAGAGUCAUUAACAACCGUUUCGAUCCCUUUCUUUCAGAAAUUACAAAGAGGAAAAGGGUUUGGUUAUGGUGGAGGAGGGAAAGGGAGCGUUUAGCCUGUAAAAAAAGAGGCUGUGUUCCGCCUCCCCCCCAAAAUUGUACAGGCGGUCGUGUGCGCCCACGCAUCGAGGUGUUGUAAAAGCUGCCACGGCACUUUUCACCUGUGCAGUGCGAGAUUGGCCAGCCGGUUUAAAAACCCCUCCAAACAAUCAAAGGUUGACCUCGGAUCAGGCAGGGAUACCCGCUGAACUUAAGCAUAUCAAUAAGCGGAGGA
This 425-nucleotide unclassified non-coding RNA is filed under the name soil metagenome. RNAcentral describes it as "partial contains 5.8S ribosomal RNA, internal transcribed spacer 2, and large subunit ribosomal RNA". The stretch from base 1 to 120 matches the Rfam family "5.8S ribosomal RNA", at positions 35 to 154 of the family's 154-position model. The record is from RNAcentral.